This 551-nucleotide ribosomal RNA is filed under the name uncultured Diversispora. Its description in RNAcentral is "SSU rRNA". It matches the Rfam family "Eukaryotic small subunit ribosomal RNA", at positions 548 to 1098 of the family's 1831-position model. The record is from RNAcentral. Lineage: Eukaryota; Fungi; Glomeromycota; Glomeromycetes; Diversisporales; Diversisporaceae.
UUGGAGGGCAAGUCUGGUGCCAGCGGCCGCGGUAAUUCCAGCUCCAAUAGCGUAUAUUAAAGUUGUUGCAGUUAAAAAGCUCGUAGUUGAACUUCGGGGUCUACCCAUUGGUCAGGCUUAAUUGUCUGUACUGGUGAGAUGGAUCUCUACCUUCUGAGGAACUUUCAUGCCAUUUAUUUGGUGUGAUGGGAAAUCAGGACUGUUACUUUGAAAAAAUUAGAGUGUUUAAAGCAGACUAUCGUCUGAAUACAUCAGCAUGGAAUAAUGAAAUAGGACGGACUGACUCUAUUUCGUUGGUUUCUAGGAUCACCGUAAUGAUUAAUAGGGAUAGUCGGGGGCAUUAGUAUUCAAUUGUCAGAGGUGAAAUUCUUGGAUUUAUUGAAGACUAACUACUGCGAAAGCAUUUGCCAAGGAUGUUUUCAUUAAUCAAGAACGAAAGUUAGGGGAUCGAAGACGAUCAGAUACCGUCGUAGUCUUAACCAUAAACUAUGCCGACUAGGGAUCGGACGAAGUUAAUUUUAUAAUGACGCGUUCGGCGCCUUACGGGAAAC